CAGCCCAGCGCAUAACCUCCCGGGCUACCAAGCCUGCGGCGGAAUGUUGCGUUAAGGGAAAGGUCGUUUCAAAGCCCUGCACUACAUGGCCUAAGUUUGGCUUGAAUUUCUCACUGUAUCCUAACGGCUACAACGGCUCCACAGAGGGUGUCAGACCCGUGAGGCCAUGUGAUUAAAUGUGCGUGGGUUCGGCUUUAUUCCCUGAGAGUCGCGUUGCUUGAGCAUGCAGCGCUAAGCAGGUCGUAAACUCGACCUAAGGCUAAAUAUAUUCGCAGAACCGAUAGUAAACAAGUACCGUGAGGGAAAGUUGAAAAGUACUCUGAAGAGAGAGUCAAAAGACCGUGAAACCGCUUAGAGUAUAAGCCAAUGGUAUUCUGGAAUGCUGGAGCUCCCCUUGCAAAAUGGUUCCCGAUUGUGGGGUACGUCCUAAGGGUAUCGUGUGUGCGAGAGAUCAUGAAGGCUGAUGGGCAAUCGAACCGAAAAGUGGCAUUGAGUUGAUACCACGGCACCCAUAUCUCGCGGGCCUCUGACAGUGGUAACAGGGAACGUUCUAAUGAGGAACUGAACCGAGGCUGGGCUUCAGCGAGCGUCAGUUUCUAAGCACAAUAACGAUCGGCUUUCUAAACAGCACACCACAAUCCUUUAUAAGGUCUCCUCGUGAGGUGUGGUAAGAAAGAGGGUUUACGCUUUCUUUCUUUCAGCGGGUUGUGUCGCGUUAUUGCUCUCUAGUUUGUGUGCGCUUUUGUAGCGUGCUCCCAUUCCGGUAUAAGUAUAUAAGUUUUAACUCGCAUUGGCUUGCGAGCUUGUAUAUAUCUGGUGAUGUGGUUGCUAGAGGGCCGGCCAACUUUGCACUGCACCGUUCCAGACACGAGCGGAAUGAUCCUAUGUGAAGAUUGAUUCUGACCAGCCGAUACCCGCGAGCCUUGCCUCAACAGAGCUUGGCGAGUAAACUGCACGGUUGUGCCCUUGCGCCUCAUUACAUUAAGCCUUCUAGUCGGUCUAUUUCGGGAUGGGAGUGCAUUGGCCUCCUCGCGCCCCUUCUAGACUUGCGAAAGGGUGUUUUGGGCCGUGAGCGAGGGGGCGAUUCGUUGGGUUGAUGGCUGAUUGGUGCAUUAUUCCAGAGCCAUUGGUCACGUCUCGAAACACGGGCCAAGGAGCAUAGCAUGUGCGCAAGUCUAAGGGAUAAGAAAUCCUGGAGGCGAAGUGAAAGCAAAUGGUGUGUAUACGAGAGUGUGUGCUCGCGCGCGCGCUCUUGUAUUCAGCCUGCGAAGUGCGUAAUUCCCGCUCACGCGGAUGAAUGCGUCUUGCGGCUUAAACCGGGUUGAUCCUGUUUCGUAAUCAAGCCUCAAUGGCGAUACGCGGGCGCAAACCCCAGGCUCUCUUACGAGGGUAUUCGCGUAUCCUUGAGAGCACUGCAUAGCGUGCAUGCUAUAACCCGAAAGAUAGUGAACUAUGCCUGGCGAGGAUCGAAGCCCCAGGAAACUGGGG
This 1488-nucleotide ribosomal RNA is filed under the name Epimeria sp. 12 MLV-2017. Its description in RNAcentral is "partial 28S ribosomal RNA". It matches the Rfam family "Eukaryotic large subunit ribosomal RNA", at positions 104 to 867 of the family's 3401-position model. Lineage: Eukaryota; Metazoa; Arthropoda; Malacostraca; Amphipoda; Epimeriidae. The record is from RNAcentral.